This 1473-nucleotide ribosomal RNA is filed under the name Mycoplasma sp. RNAcentral's name for it is "bacterial SSU rRNA". It matches the Rfam family "Bacterial small subunit ribosomal RNA". The record is from RNAcentral. Lineage: Bacteria; Bacillati; Mycoplasmatota; Mollicutes; Mycoplasmatales; Mycoplasmataceae.
UGGCUCAGGAUGAACGCUGGCUGUGUGCCUAAUACAUGCAUGUCGAGCGAAGUAGCAAUACUUAGCGGCGAAUGGGUGAGUAACACGUGCUCAACGUGCCCUCAAGAUUGGGAUAGCAACUGGAAACAGUUGAUAAUACCAAAUACUUAUAUUUUUCGCAUGAAGAAUAUAUAAAAGGAGCGUUUGCUCCGCUCGAGGAUCGGGGUGCGUAACAUUAGCUAGUUGGUGAGGUAACGGCCCACCAAGGCGAUGAUGUUUAGCGGGGUUGAGAGACUGAACCGCCACACUGGGACUGAGAUACGGCCCAGACUCCUACGGGAGGCAGCAGUAGGGAAUAUUCCACAAUGAACGAAAGUUUGAUGGAGCGACACAGCGUGCAGGAUGAAGGUCCUAUGGAUUGUAAACUGCUGUGGUAAGGGAAGAAAAAGUAGCUUAGGAAAUGAAGUUACAUUGACGGUACCUUAUUAGAAAGCAACGGCUAACUAUGUGCCAGCAGCCGCGGUAAUACAUAGGUUGCAAGCGUUAUCCGGAAUUAUUGGGCGUAAAGCAUCUGUAGGUUGUUUGUUAAGUCUGGCGUCAAAUUUUGGGGCUCAACCCCAAAUCGCGUUGGAUACUGGCAGACUAGAGUUAUGUAGAGGUUAGCAGAAUUCCUUGUGAAGCGGUGAAAUGCGUAGAUAUAAGGAAGAAUAUCAAUAUGGCGAAGGCAGCUAACUGGACAUACACUGACACUGAGAGAUGAAAGCGUGGGGAGCAAACAGGAUUAGAUACCCUGGUAGUCCACGCCCUAAACGAUGAUCAUUAGCUGAUGGAGAAUUCAUCGGCGCAGCUAACGCAUUAAAUGAUCCGCCUGAGUAGUACGUUCGCAAGAAUAAAACUUAAAGGAAUUGACGGGGAUCCGCACAAGCGGUGGAGCAUGUGGUUUAAUUUGAUGCUACGCGUAGAACCUUACCCACUCUUGACAUCUUCUGCAAAGCUAUGGAGACAUAGUGGAGGUUAACAGAAUGACAGAUGGUGCAUGGUUGUCGUCAGCUCGUGUCGUGAGAUGUUCGGUUAAGUCCUGCAACGAGCGCAACCCUUGUCCUUAGUUACUAACAUUUAGUUGAGCACUCUAAGGAGACUGCCCGAGUAAUCGGGAGGAAGGUGGGGACGACGUUAAAUCAUCAUGCCUCUUACGAGUGGGGCUACACACGUGCUACAAUGGACGGUACAAAGAGAAGCGAAGUGGUGACAUGGAGCAAAUCUCAAAAAACCGUUCUCAGUUCGGAUUGAAGUCUGCAACUCGACUUCAUGAAGUCGGAAUCGCUAGUAAUCGUAGAUCAGCUACGCUACGGUGAAUACGUUCUCGGGUCUUGUACACACCGCCCGUCAAACCAUGGGAGCUGGUAAUGCCCGAAGUCGGUUUAUAAACAAACUGCCUAAGGCAGGACUGGUGACUGGGGUUAAGUCGUAACAAGGUAUCCCUACGAGAACGUG